This 403-nucleotide ribosomal RNA is filed under the name uncultured bacterium. RNAcentral's name for it is "partial 16S ribosomal RNA". It matches the Rfam family "Bacterial small subunit ribosomal RNA", at positions 28 to 526 of the family's 1533-position model. The record is from RNAcentral.
GACGAACGCUGGCGGCGUGCCUAAUACAUGCAAGUCGAACGCAGUGGGGACGGGUGAGUAACACGUUGGUAACCUCCCAUCAGAGGGGAUAACACUUGGAAACAGGUGCUAAACCGAUACUGAUGGAUGGACCCGCGGUGCAUUAGCUAGUGGGUGAGGUAACGGCUCACCAAGGCCACGAUGCAUAGCCAACCUGAGAGGGGGAUCGGCAACACUGGGACUGAGACACGGCCCAGAAUCCUACGUGAGGCAGAAGUAGGGAAUCGGCGGCAAUGGGCGAAAGCCGGACCGUGCAACGCCGCGGGAGUGAAGAAGGUGUUCGGAUCGUAAAACUCCGUUGUUAGAGAAGCGGUAUCUAACCAGAAAGCCACGGCUAACUACGUGCCAGCAGCCGCGGUAAUAC